GAUGAACGCUGGCGGCGUGCCUAAUACAUGCAAGUCGAGCGAACGGACGAGAAGCUUGCUUCUCUGAUGUUAGCGGCGGACGGGUGAGUAACACGUGGAUAACCUACCUAUAAGACUGGGAUAACUUCGGGAAACCGGAGCUAAUACCGGAUGAUAUUUUGAACCGCAUGGUUCAAAAGUGAAAGACGGUCUUGCUGUCACUUAUAGAUGGAUCCGCGCUGCAUUAGCUAGUUGGUAAGGUAACGGCUUACCAAGGCAACGAUGCAUAGCCGACCUGAGAGGGUGUUCGCCCACUCUGGACCUGAGACCCGGCCCAGCCCCCUACGGGAGGCCGCAGUGGGUACUCUUCCGCAAUGGGGGAAAGCCUGCCGGAGCAACGCCGGGUGGGUGAUGAAGGCUUUCGGCCCGUAAAACCCUUUUUUUGGGGAAAAACAUUUUUGGAAGUAACUUUGCCCAUUUUGCGGGUACCUAAUCAAAAACCCCGGGCUACCUCCGG
Molecule: ribosomal RNA, 496 nt
Filed under: uncultured bacterium
Lineage: Bacteria
Description: partial 16S ribosomal RNA
Rfam family: Bacterial small subunit ribosomal RNA
Source: RNAcentral